Molecule: ribosomal RNA, 757 nt
Filed under: uncultured Bacteroidota bacterium
Lineage: Bacteria; Pseudomonadati; Bacteroidota
Description: bacterial SSU rRNA
Rfam family: Bacterial small subunit ribosomal RNA
Source: RNAcentral
GUAACACUGGAGAGAAGCUAUGACUUGCACUCUGAAUGAACGACCGGCGGAUGGGUGAGUAACGCGUAUGCAACUUGCCUCUUAGUGGGGGAUAACCCGGAGAAAUCCGGACUAAUACCGCAUAUUCUUAAUUUCUCGCAUGAGUUAUUAAGGAAAGAUUUAUUGCUAAGAGAUAGGCAUGCGUUCCAUUAGUUAGUUGGUGAGGUAACGGCUCCCCAAGGCAUCGAUGGAUAGGGGAGCUGAGAGGCUGAUCCCCCACAUUGGGACUGAGACACGGCCCAAACUCCUACGGGAGGCAGCAGUGAGGAAUAUUGGUCAAUGGAGGAAACUCUGAACCAGCCAAGUCGCGUGAAGGAUGACGGUCCUAUGGAUUGUAAACUUCUUUAGUAGGCGAGUAAGGAUAGGUACGUGUACCUAUUAGAAAGUAGCCUAAGAAUAAGUAUCGGCUAACUCCGUGCCAGCAGCCGCGGUAAUACGGAGGAUACGAGCGUUAUCCGGAUUUAUUGGGUUUAAAGGGUGCGUAGGUGGCUGAUUAAGUCAGUGGUGAAAAGCUAUGGCUCAACCAUAGUCUUGCCGUUGAUACUGGUUAGCUUGAGUGUAGAUGAUGUAGGCGGAAUGCGUAGUGUAGCGGUGUAAAUGCAUAGAUAUUACGCAGAACUCCGAUUGCGCAAGGCAGCUUACUAAACUACUACUGACACUGAGGCACGAAAGCGUGGGUAUCAAACAGGAUUAGAUACCCCUGGUAGUCCACGCCGUA